This 465-nucleotide ribosomal RNA is filed under the name uncultured bacterium. RNAcentral's name for it is "bacterial SSU rRNA". It matches the Rfam family "Bacterial small subunit ribosomal RNA", at positions 338 to 795 of the family's 1533-position model. The record is from RNAcentral.
CCUACGGGCUGCAGCAGUGGGGAAUAUUGCACAAUGGGCGCAAGCCUGAUGCAGCCAUGCCGCGUGUAUGAAGAAGGCCUUCGGGUUGUAAAGUACUUUCAGCGAGGAGGAAGGCGUUAAGGUUAAUAACCUUAGCGAUUGACGUUACUCGCAGAAGAAGCACCGGCUAACUCCGUGCCAGCAGCCGCGGUAAUACGGAGGGUGCAAGCGUUAAUCGGAAUUACUGGGCGUAAAGCGCACGCAGGCGGUUUGUUAAGUCAGAUGUGAAAUCCCCGGGCUCAACCUGGGAACUGCAUCUGAUACUGGCAAGCUUGAGUCUCGUAGAGGGGGGUAGAAUUCCAGGUGUAGCGGUGAAAUGCGUAGAGAUCUGGAGGAAUACCGGUGGCGAAGGCGGCCCCCUGGACGAAGACUGACGCUCAGGUGCGAAAGCGUGGGGAGCAAACAGGAUUAGAUACCCCGGUAGUC